Molecule: ribosomal RNA, 372 nt
Filed under: uncultured organism
Description: bacterial SSU rRNA
Rfam family: Bacterial small subunit ribosomal RNA
Source: RNAcentral
CAGAGGUCCCAAGCGUUGUUCGGAUUCACUGGGCGUAAAGGGUGCGUAGGUGGCCAGGUAAGUUCGGUGUGAAAGCUCGGAGCUUAACUCCGAAAUGGCGUUGAAUACUAUCUGGCUGGAGGGUCGGAGGGGAGACUGGAAUUCUCGGUGUAGCAGUGAAAUGCGUAGAUAUCGAGAGGAACACCAGUGGCGAAGGCGAGUCUCUGGACGACUCCUGACACUGAGGCACGAAAGCCAGGGGAGCAAACAGGAUUAGAUACCCUGGUAGUCCUGGCUGUAAACGGUGCACGUUUGCUGUAAGAGGAAUCGACCCCUUUUGUGGCGAAGCUAACGCGAUAAACGCGCCGCCUGGGGAGUACGGUCGCAAGAUUA